This 483-nucleotide ribosomal RNA is filed under the name uncultured bacterium. Its description in RNAcentral is "partial 16S ribosomal RNA". It matches the Rfam family "Bacterial small subunit ribosomal RNA", at positions 30 to 507 of the family's 1533-position model. The record is from RNAcentral.
UUGAACGCUGGCGGCAGGCCUAACGCCUGCAAGUCGAGCGGAUGAAGGGAGCUUGCUCCUGGAUUCAGCGGCGGACGGGUGAGUAAUGCCUAGGAAUCUGCCUGGUAGUGGGGGAUAACGUCCGGAAACGGGCGCUAAUACCGCAUACGUCCUGAGGGAGAAAGUGGGGGAUCUUCGGACCUCACGCUAUCAGAUGAGCCUAGGUCGGAUUAGCUAGUUGGUGGGGUAAAGGCCUACCAAGGCGACGAUCCGUAACUGGUCUGAGAGGAUGAUCAGUCACACUGGAACUGAGACACGGUCCAGACUCCUACGGGAGGCAGCAGUGGGGAAUAUUGGACAAUGGGCGAAAGCCUGAUCCAGCCAUGCCGCGUGUGUGAAGAAGGUCUUCGGAUUGUAAAGCACUUUAAGUUGGGAGGAAGGGCAGUAAGUUAAUACCUUGCUGUUUUGACGUUACCAACAGAAUAAGCACCGGCUAACUUCGUG